This 468-nucleotide ribosomal RNA is filed under the name uncultured bacterium. RNAcentral describes it as "partial 16S ribosomal RNA". It matches the Rfam family "Bacterial small subunit ribosomal RNA", at positions 28 to 507 of the family's 1533-position model. The record is from RNAcentral.
GACGAACGCUGGCGGCGUGCUUAACACAUGCAAGUCGAACGGAAAGGCCCUGCUUUUGUGGGGUGCUCGAGUGGCGAACGGGUGAGUAACACGUGAGUAACCUGCCCUUGACUUUGGGAUAACUUCAGGAAACUGGGGCUAAUACCGGAUAGGAGCUCCUGCUGCAUGGUGGGGGUUGGAAAGUUUCGGCGGUUGGGGAUGGACUCGCGGCUUAUCAGCUUGUUGGUGGGGUAGUGGCUUACCAAGGCUUUGACGGGUAGCCGGCCUGAGAGGGUGACCGGCCACAUUGGGACUGAGAUACGGCCCAGACUCCUACGGGAGGCAGCAGUGGGGAAUAUUGCACAAUGGGCGGAAGCCUGAUGCAGCAACGCUGCGUGCGGGAUGACGGCCUUCGGGUUGUAAACCGCUUUCGCCUGUGACGAAGCGUGAGUGACGGUAAUGGAUAAAGAAGCACCGGCUAACUACGUG